AAUCAACGCUGGCGGCGUGCCUAACACAUGCAAGUCGCACGAGAAAGGGCAGCAAUGCCUGAGUACAGUGGCGCACGGGUGAGUAACACGUGAAUGAUCUACCUCCGAGUGGGGAAUAACUGAGAGAAAUCUUAGCUAAUACCGCAUAACACUUACGAGUCAAAGCAGCAAUGCGCUUGGAGAGGAGUUCGCGGCAGAUUAGUUAGNGGCGGGGUAAUGGCCCACCAAGACGAUGAUCUGUAUCCGGCCUGAGAGGGCGGCACGGACACACUGGAAC
This 277-nucleotide ribosomal RNA is filed under the name uncultured bacterium. Its description in RNAcentral is "partial 16S ribosomal RNA". It matches the Rfam family "Bacterial small subunit ribosomal RNA", at positions 32 to 319 of the family's 1533-position model. The record is from RNAcentral.